AUCGGGGCCCCGGGCUCCGCGCGGCGACGGCUGCCGCAGCCCGAGGAGUUUGAGGCUGAGGGGUUUAGUUGAAUCUCCCGUUCGGGUCAGUUCAAUGGGGGAGCGCGAUGGGAGCGGCGGCGGCUCCGGCGCUCGCCUUUUGUCUUGGGGCUCCUCGCCUGGCGCGCUCCGCGCUCCUCCGGCUCCUCGGCUCUUGGGCUCCCCGGGAACUGUUAGUUCGGACCCGCUCGCCGAGCCCCUGAGGCGGCCGCUGGCUCUCGCUCUGCCCGAAAGUGCUCGGCGCCCCCGUCGCCGGCCGCCGUGGCCCCUGUCAAGAGGGAGGAAGCCGCCCGGCGGGUCGGCGCCCGGGCGGAGAGCGGAGCCGGCGGGCAGGGCGGCGGGAGGAAGGCGGGCUGGUCCGCGCCCCCGCCGAGCGCACACACACCCCCUUGGCGCCCCCGGGGGCCGGGCCGCUCGACGCCGCGGAUUUCCCGGGGACUCGGACCCCGGGGACCCUCGGGGCGCUCGCGGGGCGGGGAUCGCGGGUGGUCGGGCGAGGGGCGGCGGGGGCGUUGCCCUUGGGGCGGGGGGCGCCCAACUCUGCCCUCUCGCGCUCGGCGGCGGCGCCGGCGCUGUGUGUACCUCUUUAAGAAGGAGCCGCUCGAGCGCUGACGGUUGGGAUUUGAAGUUCUUCCUCCCUCUUUGGAAGUCUGGACGGAUGGGGGGUGUUGCCAAGGGAACGGCACCCUCCACCCCCUCCCCACCCCGCGCGGACGCCGGGACGGCUCUGGUCCUUUUUGUGUCAUGUGAUGGACUCUUCCCUGCACACUCGGACAUACACGCUCACACACCCCGCGCUCCCCACCUCUGCGGAUCCCGUCUUUCUUUUUGACAAAACUUACAGCGGGGGCUGGCGCUAUGGCAUAGCGGGUAAAGCUGCCGCCUGCAGUGCCAGCAUCCCAUGUGGCUGCUGGUUCGAGUCCUGGCUGCUCCACUUCCAAUCCAGCUCUCUGCUAUGGCCUGGAAAAGCAGUAGAAGAUGGCCCAAGUCCUUGGGCCCCUGCACCCAAGUGGGAGACCUGGAAGAAGCUCCUGACUCCUGGCUUUGGAUCGGCGCAGCUCCAGCUGUUGUGGCCAGUUGGGGAGUGAUCCAGCGGAUGGAAGACCUCUCUCAGCCUCUCUUCUCUCUCUGUAACUCUGAUUUUCAAAUAAAUAAAUAAAUCUUAAAAAAAAAAAUUACAGUGAAGAUACUUUUCUGUAUCUUAGCUCAUUCCCUUUCAUAUAGUUUUUCCAUAAUUGGCAACAACUCUAAUCAGCUUAGUUACAUUUGCUUUUUAUUAUUUUUUUCUCUUUAAACUGUUGUCAGGUUAUUUCACUUUCUUCACAGUAUCUGAUGGAUUCAGUGUUUGUGAUGUGGUAAAUUAGGCAGAUGAACAUAAGAUUCGGGUUUGUGUCUGGAUUACUGGUUUUACUAUCAUACAGCCUCUCUUAUAACCUACAGUAAAUCAUUGCUUGGAGUAGCUGCUUUGAUUUCAUAAUUUACAAAGCAAGUAAUAUCUCCCUUUUGUCUUUUGUUCAUCAGGUGAAAGCCCCUGACCACAUUCAACUAGUUGGCUAUGUUCUUCCAGACUGUUUCUUCCCCGUUUGUCCAGUUUCUUUAGACAAUGCAACCUUUUCAUUUGCUUUUAUUCUCUUUUAUAUAUAUAUUUCUCCAUAUUCUUGAAUCAUUUUAGUUGUAUCUUCAACCCUGCAUCCCCAGUUGUCUUUAAAAUUCAGCUCUACCUAGAGUUUUCUAGAGCAUUUAGAGCCCUUUGAUUCAAAUUGACCUUUUUUUUUUUUUUAAUUUGACAGGUAGAGUCAUAGACAGUGAGAGAGAGACAGAGAGAAAGGUCUUCCUUCCGUUAGUUCACUCCCCAAAUGGCCGCUACGGCUGGCACUGCGCCGAUCUGAAGCCAGGAGCCAGGUGCUUCCUCCUGAUCUCCCAUGCAGGUGCAGGGGCCCAAGCACUUGGGCCAUCCUCCACUGCCCUCCCGGGCCACAGCAGAAAGCUGGACUGGAAGAGGAGCAACCAGGACUAGAACCUGGCUAGGAUUAACCUAGUGAGCCACGGUGCCGACCCCUGACUGGUUCUUUUCUAACAGGUCAUGCAAGGAAUGUAUUUUGGAAUCAGUUAUGUUUCGUAGUCCUUAUGUUUAAACUGUUGAUGAUGAGGGACUAAGUCUUCAUAAAUGGUAGAAAGGGGUAAAUGGAAAGAACCCAUGUAAGACUCAUAGACACAAGAUGUUUUACCUUUAAGAUUGCUGUGUUUUAAUCAGAAAUGCUAUAUUGUAUAAUAGUGGCUUCUGGAAUGAAGACAUAAGUUAGAGAAUUAGCGUGAAGGUGAUAUUUAAAUCUAUGGAAAAUGAUGAGAUUACCACAGGGUAGGAUAGAAAUAGAGGACUUGGCCGGCGCUGCGGCUCACUAGGCUAAUCCUCCGCCUGUGGCGCCAGCAACCCGGGUUCUAGUCCUGGUUGAGGUACUGGAUUCUGUCCUGGUUGCUCCUCUUCCAGUCCAGUUCUCUGCUGUGGCCGGAAGGCAGUGGGCCCUGCACACAUAAUGGAGACCAGGAGGAAGCACCUGGCUCCUGGCUUCAGAUUGGCGCAGCACUGGCUGUAGCAGCCAUUUAGGGGAUGAACCAACCAAAGGAAGACCUUUCUCUCUGUCUCUAACUCUGCCUGUCAAAAAAAAAAAAAAAAAAAAAAAAAAAAAAAAAAAAGAAAUAGAAGACUUAAGAAAUUAUAACAUUUCCUGGCUAAAGGAAGACGAACUUCAAAGUGAGGACACUGAACUUUUAUACUUAAAAGUAAAGGCAGGAGCCAGCGAUGUGGUAUAGCAGGUUAACACCUUGGCCUGAAGCACCGGCAUCCCAUAUGGGCGUUGGUUCGAGAUCCAGCUGCUCCACUUCUGAUCCAGCUCUCUGCUAUGGCCUGGGAAAGCAGUAGAAGAUGGCCCAAGUCCUUGGGCCUCUGCACCUGAAUGGGAUCCCGGAGGAAGCUCCUGGCUCCUGGCUUCAGAUCAGUGCACGAUUGCUGCAGCCAUCUGGGGUGUGAACCAGCGGAUGGAGGACCUCUUUCUAUCUCUGCCUGUCCUCUCUCUGUGUAACUCUGACUUUGAAAUAAAUAAAUCUUUAGCCAAUGACUUUACUUUUAUUUUAAAACUGUAAAACUAGGGGAUAUUGGUAUUACCAAAUCCUAAGAAGAGUGGAUAAUAUUAAAAUAAGGAGGGAUUGUUACAUAUUGAUGUUAAAUUCCUGUGGUGAAAUGGUUUUUCUUGAAAACAUGGACGUUCUAGAUGACCUUGACUACAUAAAUUUCAGCAGAGCAGUAGAAAUGGCUGCCAAAUUGUAAUAGGCUAUAGAGAAUUAAGUUAUAUGCAGAGGUUAACGUUUGUAGGAGACUGCUCAGUUAAGAACUAUGUUUUGAGGAAUAACCAGUGAGUGGAACAGAAAUUGGAGACAUAUCUGGGGUCUAGAGAUGUUUGUUUCUUAGAUAGUAGAUAGAUUUAUAAUAGUAAGGUAGAUGGGAAAUACUUUUUAGAAUCAGUGAUACUGAUAAUUAUUUUGUAUGUUGUAUUUAAGCUUAGAUGAGAUAGUGACAAAAUAUUCAGAUAUAUUAGAUAAAGCAAGAGACUGGGCUUGGUUUGAAUUACUAAAUGUGAAUCCUUUAUUUUUGUCCUUCAAAAAUGUUUUCCUUACCAAGUUCGUCACUGAGAUAGUACAUACGACAUUGGUGCCUGGCACAUUUUAAAGAAAUGAUUUUUUUUCCAAUUAAUUUACUGUUGUCAGUCACCAAAUAUCUUGAGGCCUAUUUGACAGUUCGUUGAGGUAUAAUUCUAUUUCUUUUUUCAUACUGGGUUCUGAACUGGAAAUAGACAUAGGAAUCAGGGAUGAAAAUAUUAGCUUUUUUAACUGUUUAUUUUUAUCUACUUUAAAGGCAAAACAAGAGAGUGAGAAUGUGUGUUACAUGCCAGUGUUUGACAGCUCCCAUCUUGUUCACUCCGCAAAUGCUUCCAACAGCCAGAGCUGGACCAGGCGGAUGUCAGGAGCCAGCAGCUUCAUCUGGGUCUUCCACUAGAGUGGCAUCACCUGACUCCCAGGAUGCAUCAUCAGGAAGCUGGAUUAGAAGUGGAGUUACCUAUGAUUUAAACCAGGCUGUCUGGUGGUAGGAUGUGGGCAUCUAAGUAGCAACUUAACCUGCUGUGCCACACCAGCACUAGGUUUUUAAUGAUAAGGUUGUGUUGAAGAACUUGGUGAUGACUUGAAGCCAAAAUUAAAUAUUGGCCUACCUUACUCCCUGGCUUUCUGAAUUGCAUUGAACACCCUGUCAAAGAUAGUGCAAUCAGAAAUUUCAGGCCUCUUCUACAACGCAAGGAAGCUCUAACCCAGGGAGGCACAGUGAGCUAGAGUCUUGUCCAUGACUGAAAAAUGGCUUUUAAAACAUUAAUUCAUCCAGUAGGUAUGAUGCAUCAAUAUUCAUUUUCUUUCCUUGGGGAGGACUGAAUAAGUGCUUGUGGGAGUGCUAUUUUAUGGGACAGGCAAGAAUGGUGGAGUGGAUCAAAAAACUUACUGUUAAUUCAAGAAAUAAGAUUUUAGACUAUGCUUUUUUUUUAAGCUUUAUUUUUUUGAAAGAGUUACACAGAGAGAGGAGAGGCAGAGAGAGGUCUUCCAACUGAUGGUUCACUCUCCAGAUGGUCACAACGGCUGGAGCUGUGCCAAUCUGAAGCCAGGAGCCAGGAGCUUCUUCCUGGUCUCCCAUGUGGGUGUAGGGGCCCGAAGACUUGGGCCAUCUUCUGCUUUCUCGGGCCAUAGCAGAGAGCAGGACAGCAAGUGGAGCAGCCGGGUUUCGAACCGGCGCCCAUAUGGUACGCCGGUGCUUCUUUCUAGGGCGUUAACCCACUGUUCCACAGUACAGGCCCCUAGACUAUGCUUUUAAAGAGCUCACAAUGAUUAGGGAUGUGAGGAAUUUUAAGCUUAGUAUAAUAUAAUGGAAAGAUAGGCAAGGGAGUAAUUACUUUUGACUUGAAGAAUCUAAAAUGAUGACUUCAAAAGCUCAAGUGAAAACUGAGGUUGACAAACUUUCUGUAAAGGGCUGGAUGGUAAAUACAAGGGGUCUUCUAAAAUGUUAAGGAAAAUGUGCAUUCUGAAGAAACUUCAUGUAUUUAAAAAUUUUUUUGCAUCAAAACAAACACCUUUUAUUUCUGUUUUUCUAGAAACUUCUUGAAAUCCUUUAAAAAAAGGAUUUAUUUAUUUUACUUGAAAGAGUUACACAAAGAAAGAAGGAGAAGCAGAGAGAGGGAGGUCUUCCAUCUGCUGGUUCACUCCCCAAUUGGCCACAAUGGCCGGAGCUGCACCAAUCUGAAGCCAGGAGCUUCUUCUGGGUCUCCCAUGUGGGUGCAGGGGCCCAAGGGCUUGGGCCAUCUUCUACUGCUUUCCCAGGCCAUAGCAGAGAGCUGGAUGAGAAGUGGAGCAGCUGGGACUCAAACCUGGUGCCAAUAUGGGAUGCUGGCACUGCAGGUGGUGGCUUUACCUGCUACGCCACAGCGCCGGCCCUAAAUACUCUCAUAUUUAGACAUUGUGACAUUAGAAGAAUUGUCAGGUAGACUGUGUAGGCUGACUUAUUCAUCCAAUCUGAGGCACAGGGGAGAGGCACAGCAUAAUAUGAGCUCUCUGUAGCUCUGUAGUCUGUGUUUUUCCUGAGUAGUUUACUCUCAAUAGCCAUCUGGUCUUUGUUGCAGCUACUGACCAUUGCUGUUGUAGUGCAGAAGCAAUACAUAAAUGAAUGAGCUAGCUGGGUUAUAUCCCAAUAAGCAUUUAUUUAUAAAAAUAGGUGAUUUUACCUAUAGGCCAUAAUUUGCUGACUACUGAGAUUCUGCAGGAAAGUAGGAUGUAGGGAGCAGGCAGAGUGGUAAUAUAAGCAAAUACAUAGAAAUCUAAAUAAUGAUAUAUUCUGGAAAUAUUCAACACUGUAGUAUGAGUAUGUAGUAUGGGGUGGGAGUAGGAAAUAAGACUGGAGAGGUAUGAGCAUAAAAAUGACCUCUACAAGAAGGAAAAUAUGAGCCUUUGAAGUUGUUUGUUUUUUAAAUGGUAUAACCAUGACCAGAUAAGUUAGCUUAUUUUCAUUUGGAACAUCUGUUGUUUGUUCGGGUUGAAGUUGUUUUUUGUUUUGUUUUGUUUUUUUCAGUGAUUUAAGAAGCAGCCUUCUGAGUAAAAACUGGAAAAAUAUUAAUUGAGACAUUGGAAUUUCAAAGUACUUUCAAAUGGCACCCUUCUCUUCUGCCCAGGCUUUGAAAUAUAACAAGGAGAGAGAUGGAAACCAAAAUAUCUUUUGUUACUCAUAGAGGCCAGGUUACAGGAAUAUAACAAGGAGAUAGAUGGAAACAAACCAAAAUACCCUUGUUACUUAUAGAGGCCAGGUUACAGGAAUAAUCAGAUGGGCUGGCGUAGUCCUCCUUAGCCAUCCAUUCCUAGGUGCACUGGAGAAGCACCAUGUAACAUGAACUCUCUGCAGGUGUACUCUCCCUCAGUAGCAUCCUCCCAAGGGCAAGAGGCGCAGAGCUAAGCCCUCUCUACUCAGUUAUUCAUUCCAAAAUCAACAGGUAAAUCACAUCAGUUUCCUGGAAGUGAAGAGAGGCUUAGAUUGUGCCUCUUAAGCAUCCUUUCUCAUUGAAACCAAGAAAGCUGUGAUACCUCUAACAAUCGGGGCUUUUGAGGAAGGUUUUUUGCAGAGUGUAUCUGUGUUGGAAACAAUACUACUGUUACUAUUCUAUGAACAACUCCAUCUCACAUAUUCUGGAUAUUGUAAAAAAAAUAAUUCUGGUAUUUGGAACACCUGUGUAUUUUUAAUUCUCAAAAUAAAUUUAAAAUUUUUUAAGUAGACUUUUUUUUAGGCCUACAAAGGUACUUAAGUAAAAUGCAUGUUUGAUUAGAAAAGACAACGCUUCCUUCUAUAUUAUAAUUUUCUUUUUUUUUCUUUUAUUUAAUGAAUAUAAAUUUCCAAAGUACAGCUUAUGGAUUACAAUGGCUCCCCCCCCAUAACUUCCCUCCCACCUGCAACCCUCCCCUAUAUUAUAAUUUUCAAUAGACUUUUUAAAUUUAGGGGAUUAGUAUGGACAAACACAUUCUUUUAUGAAAAGAUGUGUAUAGUUGGUCCUUCUUAUCUGUGGAUCCCAUAUCUGUGGGUUCCAUUGAUCAUAGAUUAAAAAUAUUUGAAAAAUAUUUGUGUAUGUAUUGACCAUGUACAUUCUUUUUUUUCCUUGUUAUUCCAGUAUAACAACUAUUUACAUAUACUUGCAUUUAUUGGGUUUUGUAAGCAAUCUAAAUAUGAUUUAAAGUAAUUGAGAUGAUGUAUUGGUUUUGUAUUUGAUGUAUUUGUAUUUGAUGUAUUGAUUUUGUAUAAGGAACUUGAGCAUCUGCUGCUCUUGAUAUCCUAAGGAUAGUACUGAAACCAAUCCUCACUGAUAUGGAGGUACUACUUACUCUAACAAACACAUUGUCAUUUUUAAUUAGCAUUGAUUGUGGAUGUUUAUAUAGUUUAUUCACUGGUAUUUUUAAAAGGUAUCAUCAGUUGUUCUGUAUCCUCUUCCUCUUUCUGAGUAAUUCAGUACUAAAACCAUAGAUGGUACCAAGUAAGACAAAGUGUCUUCUCUGGGUGCAGUGUUUGGAAGAUAGUCAUAUUCUGUAGGAGGAGUAGAAUAUUAGAACCCGAUGGAAUGUGGAGGGUGUGCAUGUGGGUUGAUGGAAUUGUGAGGGCAAAGAGCUUGUCUGCAUAGGAAGGCAUGCUGGUACAGGGUGUUGGGCAUAAGCAGGAAGCAUAAGGUCUCUGUGAAGGAGAAUGAUCUGAUGUGGGGCGGGUCAGCGUGUCCCAACAAAGGAUGUCCAGACCAGAUUAGGCUAAGAGGAUGAGGAGGGCAUCUACUUGGGCUGUCAUAUGGUCCUGUAGGUUCUCAGAGCCCCCCAGCAGGAAGGUAGGAGGGUAUCCAUGUAGCAUUGCAGCCUGAAGUAAGUAUACUGAGACUCAAGUAGCAGGUGAGGAAGAAGUGCGUGUGUGUAGGUGUCUUGAGCACAAAGAGUCAGAACCUGAGGCACGGCGGAGCAGGGUGGGAGGGAGUAUCUCAGUGGAAGCAUCUGAGUGGAAUAUUAGCUUGAUUUGGGAUGUUAGAGUCUGAGCAGGGUAGGGAGGAUAUUCUUGUAGAAUGGUUGCCCGGCAUGAGGAAUAGGGGCCUGAGCAGGUUAAGGAGAUUAUACACAUGGGAUAGGUGUAGGGAUGUUGGGACUGGGAGGGAUGAGGGAGUGUCCAUGUGUAGAAUGAGAGCCAACCAUAAUGGGAAGUGGGUUACAUAAAGAGACACUGAUCAAAUAAAUAAAUAUUAAGCCAGGCCUUUAGGGAGCCAGGCUUCUUAUUGUCAAAGCAGAAUUAUAAAUAUAAAAACUAAAAACUAAAAUGCUGUCCAUAGAGUGGAUGGAAAUGAGAAAUCCGUGUAAACUCAUGCUUUUCAUUAUGUAUAGAUAUAGAGAUACCGCAGUGUCUGUGCAUCUGCCAUUAUAUCAUAUGCCCUAAACUGGUUACUGAGAAGGAGUCUGGGAACAAUGACAUCCCAAAUAGCAGUGAGCAUAAUGUAUCAUUAAUUUUCCCAUUUUACUGAUUGUUUUCAUAAGAGAAUGUCUUUGUAAGAAAAAAAUAAUUUGAGAAUUCCAGAGUGGUGAGAUUCAGUGCAGGCCAUUUACUAUCAAGUGGUUAGGAAAAUAAAAGUUCUUAUUAUACUUCAAAUAUUUUCUGUAUGUUUAAGAUUGCCACAAAUAAAAAGUUAAAAGCAAUGCAAUUAGCAUGUAUAUUAUGGUCUUGUGAAUUAAUCACUUUCAACCCUUAAAACUACACAGCUACAAUGAAUAGUUUCAUAGAUUUUUUUUUUUUUAAUCAGUGAGAAUUCUUUGAAACAUUGAUGGCUGAUGUUGAAUGUGUAUUAGUUUUUAAUUGCUAUAGUGAAAUACCUGAGGCUGGGUAAUUUUAUUAAAAAGAUUGAUUUAGCUAAAAGUUCUAGAGGUUUAAGGGUGUGGUCCUGGCAUCAGUUCUGGUGAGAAUUCCAUGGUGAACAGCAUUAUAAUGGUGUAAGCACAUGCAGAAGGCAGAGAACUUGUGUAUCACUAGACAGGAAACCAAUGAGGCUGGGAAACAGCUAGCCUUGUUUCUUUCUUUCUUUCUUUUUUUUUUUUUUUAAAGAUUUAUUUAUUUAAUUGGAAGAGUUACAGAGAGGCGAAGGUGGGAAAGAGGUCUUCCAUCCGCUGGUUCACUCCCCAGAUGGCCUCAACAGCUGGAGCUGCACCAGUCUGAAGCAGGUGCCAGGAGCUUCUUCCAGGUCUCCCAUGUGGAUGCAGGGUCUGGAGGACUUAGGCCAUUUCCUACUGCUCUCCCCGGCCAUAGCGGAGAGCAGGAUCAGAAGUGGAUCAGCUGGGACUUGAACCCGCGCCCAUAUGGGAUGCCAGCACUGCAAGGGCUGGCUUUAUUCACUAUGCCACAGUGCCAGCCCCAGCCUUGUUCUCUAACAACCUUCUCACAAGAACUAACUCUGGUAUUCCAGAAGAACUACCUUAAUUCCUUCUAUGGACACACCCCUAUGACCUAAGGAUGUCCCAUUAGGCCCCACCACUUACUGUCACCACAAUGGGAUCCACACUUCCAAUGCAUGAACCUUUGGGAGACAAAUCAUAUCCAAACCACAGAAGAGUGCUUACACAGGUGUUGGACACUAUGUUAGGUCUUUAUAUGUGUUAUGUUUUAACUUUCACAGAUGAAACAGUAAAAUUUUUAUCUUUAUUUUUAUAGCUGAGAAAACUAAACUGAGGCUUAGAUCAGGCUUUCCAUUUAGUAAACAUGGAGACUGAGUUUGCAGCUCUGUAAAAAUCAUUCAUAAUGAGGCUUAGUAAGUCCAAUAUAACUUGCUUCCUCUUUACUGCCAUGGCCUUUAUAUUUGUGAUUCUACCUGGAACACCACCAUCAGACAGCUGCAUCAGUAGCAUAGUAGUAGUACAGUAGUAAUGGCAACUAAAAUUUAUUGCCUGUCUGUUAAUACUUAUAUCUGCUAAGUGCUUUACAUAUAUUGUAUCCUUUAAUCCUCCGAGAAAAUUUUGAGUAUAGGUACUGUCUUUGACAUUUUACAGAGUUACACUGAACUCUUUUUUGGAUCCGCAAGCACUGUGCCCUUGUUUUCUAUUUCUGUUUAUAUAUUAUAAUAGCUGCUGUUCAUUGUGACUUUGAUUUUUUUAACAUAACGUAGAAAAAAGUAUGAGAUCAUGAACUUACACCUAAGUGAACAGUGUAUACCUACUCUUGUAACCAAUGCCAGAUUAAGAAAGGAUUACUGUCAUAUCCCUUCCCAGUCACCAGUCUCUUUCCCCUUCCCAGAAGUGAAUAGGAUUUCUUUACAUAAUAGAUUAAAUUUGCCCUUUUUGGGAAACCUUGUUUAAAUGGAAUUAAAAAGCAUGGGUUUUUUUGUGUUUAGCAUCUUUAACAUGGUAUUAUGUUUUUGUAAGUGAUACAUGUGGUUGCCUGUAUAGUUUAUUCAUUAUCAGUACUCUGUAAUAUUUCCCGAUGUAAAUAUCACAUUUAUCUAUUUUUUGAAGGGUAUUUGGGUUGCUUUCCACUGUAUAUUAUUACAAUAUAGUGAACAUUCUUGUAUGUAAUAUAUUCUUAAUUUUGAUUUAACUCCUGGAAUAUUUUAAAAUUUCAUUUUAGCUGUCUAGAUUUCACUGUUUUCCAGAAUCUUUUCUUAGACUCUGUAGUGUAGGGUUUAUACCUUUCUGUGUGUACUGUUAUCAUUCCCCUUCCUCUUUAUAGUAACUGUCUACUGCUUAUUUCCCACCAAGUUCAGAGUGUGUAUAUAUACACUUACACAUAAAAAUCAUAUUUCUCUUUCCCUCACUUCCUGGCACCCACUUAGUAUUUAACUGUUUAAUGAAUAUUUACUCUUUUAGUACUAAACAAACAUAAGCACAAAUCUUAUUGAAAUUAGGUAAUAAAGUUGACUAUUCUCCACCUUUAUUGUAGCCUGUUUGGUAAGAUGUGCAGAGUUACCAUAAAAUUAAUUAACAAGUUAUAUCAAAAAAUUUUAAUGUACCAGGCAUCUGCAUUGUCUAUGUUGUUCAUUUAUUCUACCAUACAUUUUCUUUAUUAUUGUGACACUUUUAAUAGCUUCACUAUUCAAGAUUCAUUUAUUUUAUUUGAAGACAGAGUUAUAGAGGGAGAGGGAGAGACAGAGAUUUUGUCCAUCUACUGGUUCACUUUCCAAAUGGCCUCAAUGGCCAAGGCUGGGCCAGACCAAAGUCUGGGGCCUAGAACUCCAUCUGGGUCUCCAACAUGGGUGGCAGGGGCCCAAGCACUCAGGCCAUGUUCCGCUACUUUUCUCAAGUGCAUUAGCAGGGAGCUGUAAUGGAAGCGGAGCAGCUGGAUAUGGAACUUGCAUUCAUAUGGAAUGCUGGCAUUCCAGGUAGGUGCUUAAACCCCCUGUGCCAUGACACUAGUCUCCAAUAGCUUUAUUUGUGGCAAACUUAGUGAUUAUCCUUCAAGUUUAGUCUUGAUUUUGGAAAUUGACAUAAGAUGUUUAAAACCAAGACUGCAAAAUUUUAUGAAUUAUAAAAUGUAUCAAAAGUGAAUUGAAAUUUUGGGGAACAGACUCUUCUCUACUGUGUGAUUCAUGGCUUUAACUAUUAUUUCUUUUUUAUAGAAUUAACUGAAUUCAAGUAGAGAUAUGCCACUGAAAUAAGCCAGAGUGUCUUUUGCCUUAUAAACCAGUUACUCUUGCAAGUUACUUAUCUAGUACUUAGUUUAUACUUGAAUAUUUUUUUAAAUUUUUUUUUAUUUGACAGAUAGUUAAACAGUGAGAGAGAGAGAGACAGAGAGAAAGGUCUUCCUUCCGUUGGUUCAUCCCCCAGAUGGCUGCUGCAGCCAGAGCUACACUGAUCCGAAGUGAGGAGCCAGGUGCCAGGUGCUUCCUCCUGGUCUCUCAUGCGGGUGCAGGAGCCCAAGCACUUGGCCCAUCCCCCACUGCACUCCCGGGCCACAGCAGACAGCUGGUCUGGAAGAGGAGCAACCGAGACUAGAACCCGGCACCCAUAUGGGCACCGCAGGGGGAGGAUUAACCAAGUGAGCCACGGCAUCGGCCCCUAUACUUGAAUAUUAUUUCUUUACUUUGUAAAAAUUUUUCCAUUUCAUUUUAGCCUUGUUUAUCCUGAAUUCGUCUUUUCUGUACUUAAAAAGUUUCAUCGUUGUUUUAACCAUUGUGCUCAUUACCAACACUUCUUCAUUACCUCAAUUAGAUAAUAAGACUGUCUUUCUAUCUUCUUUCUCUCACUCUCUCACUUGCUUUGGGCUCUAUUAACUCUUUAUUCUUGCUUACUUCAGACAUUGUAUAUAAUGUUUAUGGGUCUUGUCUGUUUUUUCUUCCCCACUAAACUGUAAGUCUAAGGCAGGUGUUUAUUACGAACUCAAUAAAACUUUUUAAAAAUGUGAACACAUUUUUUGUCUCCUGUUUUAGUGUCCUCUAAAUACAUCAUUUGCCACAAAUGCUCUUAUUUUAGAACUGUCCCUCUUUAAUGAAAAAGUGUUGUAUUUAAGUAUUGAUGGUCCCUUCUUUGUUCAGCCAAAUCCUCUAUAAACUUCACAAGUUAACAUUUUAUUAGAUAAAUCACAGUGACAGAUCCUGAGGGUAAUACAAAGACACUAUUGCUGUUGUCAAGGAUCCAAACACUGUCUCUCCCCAACCCAAAAAUAAAAGUCUCAAAUUGCGAAUUAAAUAAGAAUGUCAAGCUGCUUAGAGAAUGUGGUAUUGGUAAAUUGAAUUCUGACAAACAGGAUUGUAGAAGGCUUUGAGAUAUGGUUUAGACAGUACUUGUAUGCCAGGUCUUUGUAUUUUACAUAAGAACAAAACGUUUGCUUACUAAGGUUAAGUAAUUGUUCAACUCAUGAAAAAGCUGGAAGAUAUUGCUUUAGGUUAGUUUGUAAGACAAGACACUUAACAGGUGAAUAAAAACUGUGUGCAAAAGCUCAAAUGUAUACACAAUGUAAUGAGUUAUUUGGUUCUUAUAAGUGGCAUGUAAUUAUGAUGAAAUUAUGAGUUUAGAAAAUAGGUGGGAGUUAGAUCAAAAAGGACAUGUGUGCUAGCUUAAAACUUGUACCCUUGUGAUUCAUCUUGUAGAGAUCCAUUGAGUUUUAAGAAAAAUUAGUUAUUCUCUUCUAAAUGGUAAAAGUUGAUUAGAAUACUGAUUCCAAUAUCCAUUAUAAGAACCUUGGUAGUCAGAUAUUCCAGUAAUCUUUGAAUUUUCUACUGAGAAUGAUAUUCAACAGAGGGUACUGUUUAAGAUAAUACUGUGGUUUGGACAAGAUUUGGGUACUCAGCUUAUGCAGAUGCUUAAACCCCAGAGUCUUAUGUUAAUGGUGCAGAGAGGAUCGGAACCUAGUCCAUUUAAGGUUUCUGAAGGUUGGGAACUUGUUGGAUUGGGUUAAGUCUCCAGGGUGGAGCCCCAAGAUCAAAUCAUGAUGGUUUAAUGAGGAGAGACCAUGCUGAUGAGAACAUUCAUUGUCUCUUUGCUUCCUGCCCUACCAUAUGUUCCUCCUUCAGCAUACAGUACGCCAUCCACCUGCCUAAUCAGAUGCCAGAUAAAUAGGGCUGCCCAAUCUUUGUGCACCUCCAAAACUGAGCUGUGAUAAGCUGCCUUCCUUCAUAAGAAUCUUCUCCUAGGUGUUUUAGUUGUAGAAAUAUAAAGCUAAUAUAGGUAAUGAAAUUUAAUGUUUGGAAUUAAACUUUUUUCUAUUUAUGAAUUAUAUCUGCCCCCCAAAAGUUGUAAACAGUAUUAUGAUUUGUACUCAAAUACCCUCCACCCUAAGGAAUAAAAUUUGACUAAAUUGAAAUUCCCAUCCAUCAUUUCAGUUUCAUUUCCUUGACUCCACUCUGAAGUUACAUAUUUUUCUCUUAUUAAUAGUCUAAGAAGCAUUCAUAGUCUACUUUGUAUGGACAUUUCAGUGUGAAGAAUGAGAUAUAUUUUAUUUACCAGGUGGCUAUCUUUCAUAGAUGAUACACAUUGAGUUGUUUGGUUUUAAGUACUUGGCAAAUCUACGUGUAGGAAGCUUCCUUUUAAAACAUCUUAUCAACCCUAGAUUAUGUCUUUUAAUUUAUAAAUCUAGAUUUUUUUAAACUACUAGAUUUAUAUAACGAGGCAUGUCAGUGCUACAAAUAGGAUUGCUCUAGUAUUACUUUUUUUAAAAAAAUACUUAUUUGAAAGGCAGAGUUAGAGAUCUUCCAGCUGCUGCUUUGCUCUCCAAAUGAUGACAACAGUAGGGGGUGGGCCAGGAUUCUGAAACUCCAUCUAGGUAUUCAGUGUGGGUGGCAGGCACCCAAGCACUUGGACCAUCAUUUGCUGCCUUCUGAGAUGCAUUAGCAGAGAGCUGGAUAGGAAGUAGAGCAGCUACGACUUGAACUGGAGCUCAUGUGGGUUGCCAACAUCACAAGCAGCAGCUUAGCCUGCUGUGCCACAGUGCUGCCACCACUAGUGGUACAACUUUUUUUUUUUUUUUUAGAUUUUAUUUAUUUAUUUGAAAGGCAGAGUCAGAGAGGAAGAGAGAAAGGGAGGAAGAGAGAGGAAGAGAGAUAUUUUCUAUCUUCUGAUUCACUCCCCGAAUGACUGCAUCCACCAGAGUUGGGCAGAUCUGAAGCCAGGAGCCAGGAGCUUCCUUCAGAUCUCCCAUGUGGGUGUAGAGUCCCAAACACUUGGGCCAUUCUCCAAUGCUGUCCCAAGCAUACAGGCAGGGACCUGGAUUGGAAGCUGAGUAACGACCAUAUAAGAUAGAUGCCAGAGCUGAUGGUUGGCGGCUUUACCUGCUAUGCCACAGGCCCCCAGUAUUACAGCUUUAUAAGAGUAAUUUGCCUCGGGCCGGCUCUGUGGCCUGAGUGGGUAAAGCUGCUGCCUGCAGUACCAACAUCCCAUAUGAGAGCUGGUUUUAGUCCUGGCUGCUCCUCUUCUGAUCAGCUCUCUGCUAUGGCCUGGGAUAGCAGUAGAGGAUGGCCCAAGUCCUUGGGUCCCUGCACCGAGUGGAAGACCCAGAAGAUGCUCCUGGCUCUGGGCUUUGGAUCUACACAGCUCCAGCCGUUGUGGCCAUCUGGGGAGUGAACAAGCAGAUGGAAGACCUCUCUAUUCUCUCUCUGCCUCUGUCUCUGUGUAACUCUGCCUUUCAAAUAAAUAAAAUAAUUAAUUCUUUUAAAAAUAAUUUGCAAACUUAAUCUAGUAAGAGAUAAUGCUGGAGGGGGACCAGGAUUUAAGGUGCUGCUGUCAUGAGCAUCCCAUAUCAUAGUGUCUGGGUUGUAGUCCCACCUUUGCUUCCAGUUUCACCUUCCUGCUAAUGUGCACCCCUGAAGGAAUCAAGAGAUUGGCUCAAAUACUUGUUCCUGCGGCCCAUUUGGGAGAUCUGGACUGAGUUCCUGGCUCCUGGCUUUGACCUGGCACAGCCUUGAUUGUUAUGGGCAUUUAGGGAGUUAAACAACAGAUGUUAUCUUUAUCUCUAUCUCUACCACUCCAUCUCUCUUUCAAGUACAUAAAAUUAAUUAAUUAAAAAUAAUGUGAAACAGUAUGAGCACAGCUGAAUUGGAAUAUAUCUCCUUAAUCUAUCUGUGAACUCAGGAAUAAAUUGAAUUAUCUGUUCCAGGUUUCUGAUUGCAGCUAGCUUUUGUUUGUUGCUUUAUAUUUUACCAAGAAAUUGCAUGCAAAUUAACUUGGGACUUAGAAUAUAUGUGCUUUACUAAAUGUUUUAAUAAUAAAAUCUUCAGUAUAUGAAGUGUUGAUAAUAUUCAUGUUAUAGAAGAGAAAUUAUUGAUCGAAAGAAAUUAUUUGGCAGGAUCAUAUGGAUGGUACCAUGGCAAAUCUGGAACUCAGUUUUCUAUAUUUAAUGAGAGGGCAAAACAGACCCAGAUAUAAAACUCGGGGAUGCUAAUGUGAGAGUGAGACCAAUUUCUCCAACAGUGACUGAGAAGCACUUAAAUAUAGUGAAAUAAUUAUUAUAGUAUCAAAUCAACUGUUUAAGAUUUCAACAGUGUACCUUGUAAGUGUACUUCUUAGUAAUUCUCUGACUAGUUUGGUUUCCAUUUGUUGCAGUAUAAAUCAGGGAACUAGGUGAUUAAUUUUUAAAUUUUUUUCAUUUAGUGUGUGUUCAAAUAUAUUGACCUAGUUUCUUUUAACGCUGUUUCUCAACCUUGGCACUAUUUGACUUUUUGGCUGGAUAAUUCUUUGUUGUAGUGGGUGGUUUUCGGUAUUUAGCACCAUUGUUGUCCUUUUCUCAUAAGAUGCCAGAAAUUUAUUUAAGUACUCAUGUUUGGGAGUUAGGGAGACUUCAGCACAUUGAAAUAGAAACACCUUCCUUAAUAGAGACAUUAUGAUUCUAAAGUACUUGGAGGAAAUAUAUUUGACAUAUACUUAGAAAAACAACAGACUGAAAAGCAUAGUAAAAACUGCUGAAGAGUGGUAGUGGUUACGCUGCAAACUAAAUAAAUAAAACACUGAAUUAAUAAGUAAGAACAAAGUAGAUGUAAAUGUGAAUUUCAGAAAACUACUUGAUAUAAAGGAAGAAUUAUUAACUGCAGGGAGUUUUCAACUUACAAGUGGAGCUGCAUUCUAGAAGUUGUUUUAAGAAUGUCUUAGGGGCCGGCGCUGCGGCUCAAUAGGCUAAUCCUCCAACUGUGGUGCCGGCACUCCAGGUUCUAGUCCCGGUCAGGGUGCCAGAUUUUGUCCUGGUUGCUCCUCUUCCAGGCCAGCUCUCUGCUGUGGCCCGGGAGUGCAGUGGAGGAUGGCCCAAGUCCUUGGGCCCUGCACCUGCAUGGGAGACCAGGAGAAGCACCUGGCUCCUGGCUUCGGAUCAGCGUGGUGCACCGGCCACAGCACGCCGACCGGAGGGUGAACCAAUGUUAAAGAAGACCUUUUUCUGUCUCUCUCACUGUCCACUCUGCCGGUCCAAAAAAAAAAAAAAAAAUGUGUUAGGUGUUAGAAUAAAAUUUUUCUCUCAAACAUGUAUUCAAGUAAUAUGUGAGUACCUAACAUGGGCUAAGCAUUGGGGCUAGCAUAGUGAGCAAGAUGAUAUGAUUCCUGCCUCCUUGGGGUGUAUAUAGAUUUUUGUGAUAUUUAUCAAAUAAAGAUUGAUUUAUAUGCUAUUUUUUCUUCUAGUACUCCUCUUCCCCCAUUUUGUGCUGAGGAUAGAGUUAUCAUUUCCUACUCACUGAUGUAUCUCCAGGUUCUAGAAUACCUAAUAAACAUGCAAAUAUUUGUUAAAUGGAUUAAUUCUUUAGUUGGGAAGAGACAUUAAAAAUUAGACGUGAUUAAUUAUAAUUGUUAGUGCUUCAAAGGGACUAAUACAGGGUGUUUUGUAUAUGUAAAAUACAUGUAACAUGAGUCUCAUGUAGUCUACUGCUAGAUUAGAUGAGAUGAAAAUUUAAAUUGAGACAGCAGUCCUUAAACCAACAUUUUAAGAAGUAGGUGUUAUGUUUUGGGAGUGGGAAUGGGAGUUUGAGUGUGAUAUGGCUGAAGGAACAGUUUAUGUAAAGAACUGAGGUACAUACAGUGUGACUUGAGGUUUGAGUAUUGGCAACUAUGGAGGCUAGGCAGCAGUAUGGUAUGAGAUGGACUAUUUAUUGUAUUAUGCACUGAAACACUGAAUAUUACAUUGACAACAAUGGAAAUGAAAAUAGAAAAACAACUUUGAAAUGGUGACUUUAAAAGAUUUUGGUUCAGGGGCUGGCACUGUGGCUCAGUUGGUUAACACCCUGGACUGAAGCGCUGGCAUCCCACAUGCGUGCCGCUUCUAGUCCUGGCUGCUCUUCUUCCGAUCCAGUUCUCUCCUAUGGCCUGAGACAGCAGUGGAAGAUGGCCCAAGUUCUUGGGCCCCUGCACCCAUGUGGGAGACCCAGAAGAAGCUCCUGGCUCCUGACUUCAGAUCAGCACAGGUCCAGCCGUUGCGGCCAUCUGGGGAGUGAACCAGCGGAUGGAAGAUCUCUUUCUCUGUACCUCUCUCUGUAACUCAAUAGAAUAAAUCUUUAAAAAUA
Oryctolagus cuniculus (rabbit) is the source of this 18086-nucleotide non-coding RNA. The record is from RefSeq and is a predicted model, not a curated record. Lineage: Eukaryota; Metazoa; Chordata; Mammalia; Lagomorpha; Leporidae.